AAAUGUGAGGGGUGUGGCGUUCCUCAGCACGCUUGGUCCCCAGGGAGCGCUGUUUGUUUGUUUGUUUGCUUGUUUGUUUGUCUGUUUGUUUAACGGAGCGCUGCGCUGGGCAUCCCGGCGACCGACGAGGACUUCGCUGAGUCCUCGGGGAGAUGCAAACGAGUCCGUUCUCUUUCUAGGAGCUCCAACUCGCAGCGCCAAGCGCCGAGGAUGCCGGACGGACUCAAGAUCCUAACUCUAACCUGAGGGACUGAGCGACUGCUCGCCCCAAAGUGUUCGCUCUCCUUCCUGGAAGAGCCACAAGGGGUUCGAGGCGACGCCCUAGGGACCCUUGGGAAGCGUCACGUCAGCCGCUUUCCCUCAUCCCUCGCUGUUGGGUGUCUGUGGAACAAACUCGUUUUCAGGACUGUGAUGACUAUUCUUCGUUGUCAACUUGACUAUAUCUGGAAUCACCUACAACCCAGAAAUGGAGAAGAGCACACCUGUGAGAGAUUGUCUGCUUAAAGUGGAUGAAUCCACUUCUAGUCCAGACCUUUGAGAACCUGUUCGUAAGGACUACCAGAUGCAGUUCCCUUUCAGAUGGAAGGCCAGCAGUAUACCUUUACAGUUUUACCUCAAGGAUAUAUAGACUCUCCUGUUCUGUGUCAUAACUUAGUUAGAAGGGAACUUGAUUGUCUGACUCUUCCACAAAAUAUCACAUUGGUGCACUAUAUUGACGAUAUUAUGCUGACUGGACCAAGUGAACUGGAUGUAGCUACUCAUUGGUAACAACAGAUAUGAAUCAGAAGAUAGGAAAAAUUCAAGAACUGUCUACAACAGUGAAAUCCUUAGGAGUCCAGUGGUGUGGGGAAUGCAGAGAUAUUCCUUGUAAGGUGAAGAAUAAAUAAUUGCAGUUGACCCCACCCCCCACCAAGAAAGAAGCAUAAUGUUUAGUGGGCCUAUUUGGCUUCUGGAAGCAUUACAACUCUCACAUGGGUUUGUUACUCCAGGCCAUAUACUAAGUGACUUGGAAAGCUGUUAGUUUUGUGUGGGGCCUGGGACAGGAGAAGGCUCAACAGAUCCAGGCUACUGUGCAGGCUGUUCUACCACUUGGAUGACAUGAUCCAGCAGACCCAAUGGUACUUGAGGUGUCAGUGACAGAACGGGAAUGCUGUUUGGAGCUUUGGCAUACCAAUAGGUGAAUCACAGAAAAGACCUUUGAGAUUUUGGAACAAGGCUCUACCGUCAUCUGCAGACAACUAUUCUCCCUUUAAAGACAGCUCUUGGCCUGCUAUUGGGCCUCAGUGGAAACUGAACAUUUGACAAUGAGCCAGCAAGUUACCAUGCGACCAGAGCUGCCCAUCAUGAGCUAAGUAUUAUUGGACCACCAAAUCAUAAAGUAGGACAUGCACAGCAGCAAUCCAUUAUCAAAUGGAAGUGGUAUAGAGCUGGAGAGAAAGCUCAGCAGUUAAGAGCACUGACUGCUCUUCCAGAGGUCCUAAGUUCAAUUCCCAGCAACUACAUGGUGGCUCACAACCAUCUGCAAUGGGAUCUGAUGCCCAUUUCUGAUGUGUCUGAAGACAGCUAUAGUAUACUCGUAUACACAAAACAAAUAAAUCUUUUUUAAAAUGGAAGUGGUAUAUGCAUGAUUGAACCUGACCAGGUCCUGAUGGCACAAGUGAGUCACAUGAAGAAGUUGCCCAAAUGCCUAUGAUUUCUGCUCUUGUUACAGUGCAGUCUUACUGCCAAGCAUACACCUAUAGUUUCAUGGGGUGUUCCCUACAAUCAGCGUACUGAGAAGGAGACAGCUAGGGCCUGGUUUACUGAUGGUUGUGCACUUUAUACAGUCACCGCCCAGAAGUAGACAGCUGGAGCAUUAAAAACCCUUUUUGGGACAACUCUAAAAGAUGCUGACAAAGGGAAUUCUUCACAGUGGGCAGAACUUGGCCAAAUGAAUGAUUGUUCACUGAUUCACGUGCUGUAAAAUGGAUUGGCUGAAUAGUCACGGACAUGGAAAGAUCAUGAUUGGAAAAUUGGUGAGAAAAACAUCUGAGGAAGACAUAUGUAGAUGUACAGAGGAUGUGAAGAUAUUUGUGUCCCAAGUAAAUGCUCUUCAAAAGGUGACUUCAGCUAAGGAGUUCAUUAAUCAAGUAGAUAGGAUGACCUAUUCUGGGGACAGUCAACCUCUUUCCCUAGCCAUUCCUGUCAUUGCCCAAUGUCCACAUGAACAAAAUGGCCAUGGUGGCAUAGGUGGGGGUUAUGCAUGGGCUCAAUGAUACAGACUUUCACUCAUCAAGACUGACCUGGCUACAGCUGUUCUGAGUGCCAAAUCUGCCAUGCCAACAUCAGAGACCAACAUUGAAACCCAGAUAUGAUGCCAUUACCUGGGGUGAUCAUCCAGCAACCUGGUGGGAGGCUGACCACAUUGGACCAUUUCCUCCACGGAAAGGACAGUGCUUUAUCUUUACUGGAGUAAAUAGUCUGGUUACAGAUUUGCAUUUCCUGCACCAUAAUGCUUCUGCCAAAACCACAAUUUAUGAACUUACAGAUUGCCUUAUCCAUCAUCAUAGUAUUCCACAAAGUAUUGCUUCUGACCAAGGUACUCACUUCACAGCCAGAGAGAAGUGUGACAGUGGACCCAUGAUCAUGGAAUCCACUGGUCUUACCAUGUUCUCCACCAUCCUAAAGCAGCUGGCCAGAUAGAAAUAUGGAAUGGCCUUUUAAAGACACAGUUACAGUGCCAGUUAAGUAGCAGCAGCCUAGAGGGCUGAGGUAGGGUUCUUCAGAAGACAGUAUAUACUUUGAGUCAGCAUCCAGUGUAAGGUACAAUUUCUCCCAUAGCUAGGAUCCAUGGGUCCAGGAAUCAAGGGCUGGAAAAGGGAAUAUUUUCACACGCCAUCACCCCUAAUGAACCCUAGGGAAAAAAUGCUUUCUGUUCCUGCAACCCUAAGUUCUUUGGUUCCAGAGGGAGAAGUCUCCUGCCAGGAGCUGC
This 2971-nucleotide long non-coding RNA is filed under the name Mus musculus (house mouse). Its description in RNAcentral is "RIKEN cDNA B230354K17 gene". Lineage: Eukaryota; Metazoa; Chordata; Mammalia; Rodentia; Muridae. The record is from RNAcentral.